CCCUUAGAUGUCCUGGGCCGCACGCGCGUUACACUGAUGCAUUCAACGAGCUUAUAACCUUGGCCGAGAGGCCUGGGCAAUCUUGUUAACGUGCAUCGUGAUAGGGAUAGAUUAUUGAAAUUAUUAAUCUUGAACGAGGAAUUCCUAGUAAACGCAGAUCAUCAAUCUGCAUUGAUUACGUCCCUGCCCUUUGUACACACCGCCCGUCGCACCGACCGAUUGGAUGGUCCGGUGAAGCCUCGGGAUUGUGGUUCUUGCCGCUUUAUUGUGGCGUGACCGCGAGAACUUGUCUAAACCUUAUCAUCUAGAGGAAGGUGAAGUCGUAACA
RNAcentral lists this ribosomal RNA (328 nucleotides) under uncultured eukaryote. RNAcentral describes it as "partial 18S ribosomal RNA". It matches the Rfam family "Eukaryotic small subunit ribosomal RNA", at positions 1470 to 1796 of the family's 1831-position model. The record is from RNAcentral.